This 21-nucleotide transfer RNA is filed under the name Neotoma fuscipes (dusky-footed woodrat). RNAcentral's name for it is "partial tRNA-Pro". The record is from RNAcentral. Lineage: Eukaryota; Metazoa; Chordata; Mammalia; Rodentia; Cricetidae.
CAUUCUCANUAAACUACUUCC